UCCAAAUGGUUCCUCAAGCCAUAGUAUGCC
RNAcentral lists this non-coding RNA (30 nucleotides) under Homo sapiens (human). The record is from RNAcentral. Lineage: Eukaryota; Metazoa; Chordata; Mammalia; Primates; Hominidae.